This 271-nucleotide ribosomal RNA is filed under the name uncultured bacterium. RNAcentral's name for it is "partial 16S ribosomal RNA". It matches the Rfam family "Bacterial small subunit ribosomal RNA", at positions 524 to 794 of the family's 1533-position model. The record is from RNAcentral.
UACGAAGGGGGCUAGCGUUGUUCGGAAUUACUGGGCGUAAAGCGCACGUAGGCGGCGCGUCAAGUCAGGGGUGAAAGGCCUGGGCUCAACCCGGGAACUGCCUUUGAGACUGGCGUGCUGGAGUCCGGAAGAGGGUGGCGGAAUUCCCAGUGUAGAGGUGAAAUUCGUAGAUAUUGGGAAGAACACCGGUUGCGAAGGCGGCCACCUGGUCCGGUACUGACGCUGAGGUGCGAAAGCGUGGGGAGCAAACAGGAUUAGAAACCCCUGUAGU